Long non-coding RNA from Mustela erminea (ermine), 271 nucleotides. RefSeq lists it as uncharacterized. The record is from RefSeq and is a predicted model, not a curated record. The transcript is spliced from 3 exons. NCBI's taxonomy places the organism in Eukaryota, Metazoa, Chordata, Mammalia, Carnivora, Mustelidae.
GAAGGGCAGCCAGCCGCAGGACACAGGCUUCCUCCCUGGUGGGCCCAGCGUGGCAGAACCAGCCGGGCACGGCAGUGUGGCAGGCAGGAGCACACACGCUGCCCCUAUCGCCAGCCCGAGGAAGAAGCAGCUCGCAGCCAGGACCACAGGGAAGGCCGAGGUCAGCUGAGACUUCUGGCACGUGUGCGCUUCCUGGGACACUUCGUCUGUGAAGAGGAGUGGAGAGAGAGAGAGAGAGAGAGAGAGCGCACAAGAAGGGGAGCAGCAGACG